CUGUGCCGUGUUGUCUGAUCGAAGCCCCGUCUCUCUCUGCUCUGCUCUGUCUCCUCUGCUCAGCUCACCCCCUUUCCCCAGAUCCGACGCGAAUGGCCUCCUAUGACGGCGAGGACGACUCCGGCCGGCGGCGCCCGCCGCCGCAGCAGCACCGCCCGUCCGGCGGGGGCAGCGGCGACCUCGCCGCCAGCGCCAAGCUGGUGGCGGAGGCGGCCAAGGCGGCGCUCCAGGACCACAACCUGGGGAAGGUCGACAAGGGCCGCACCGCCGAGGCCGCCGCCGACCUGCUCCACGCGGCCUCCCUCUACGGCAAGCUCGAGGGCAAGCCCGUCGGCGGCUACCUCAACAAGGCCGAGGACUACCUCCACAAGUUCGGCGCCAAGGAGGGGGGCAGCGGAGGCGGCAAGCACCAGCCCAGUGGUCACGGGGGUUCAGGCGGCAGGUACGAGGAGGAGGAUGAGUACAGGAAGAAGCCUACUAGUGGUGGUGGGAGGUACGAACAGGAUGAUGAUGAGUACAAGAAGAAGCCCAGCGGUGAUGGGAGGUAUGAAGAGGAUGAUGAGUACAGGAAGAAGCCUACUGGUGGUGGUGGUGACUACGGAGGUGGAAGGUAUGAGGAAGAAGAUGAGUACAAGAAGAAGCCUAGCAGUGGUGGCUAUGGUGGGGGGAGGUAUGAGCAAGAAGAUGACUUCAAGAGGCCUCCUAGUGGUGGUGGUGGUGGCGGCUAUGGUGGGGGAAGGUAUGAAGACGAUGAUGAGUACAAGAAGAAGCCUAGUGCUGGUGGAUAUGGAGGUGGAGGAGGGAGAUACGAAGAUGAGUACAAGAAGAAGCCAACCGGUGGCCAUGGUGGAGGGAGGUAUGAGGAAGAUGAUGAGUACAAGAGGCCUAGUGGUGGAAGCCAUGGAGGGAGGUAUGAAGAAGAGGACUACAAGAAGAAGCCUAGUGGUGGAGGAAGGUAUGAAGAAGAGGACUACAAGAAGAAGCCUAGUGGUGGAGGAAGGUAUGAAGAAGAUGACUACAAGAAGAAGCCUAGUGGUGGAAGCCAUGGAGGGAAGGAUGAGUCAGAAGGCGGUGGCAUUGGAGACUACAUUAAACUUGCACAAGGUUUCAUGAAGAAGCAGGAUGACGAGGGUGGGCACAAGAAGACUAGUGGACAUGGAGGAGGAGGGUAUGGAAAGGAGGAAAAUGAAGAGGACAGCGGCAAGAAGAAACAUGGUGGUCGCCCUGAGAGUGGAAAAGACGAGUCGGAGGGCAGUGGCAUGGCAGAUUACCUGAAACUUGCACAGGGUUUCAUGAAGAAGGAUGGUGAAGGGGGAAGUGGAGCUGGUAUGGGGGACUACUUAAAGCUUGCAGAGGGGUUCAUGAAGAAGCGUUGAUUUAUAACUGAUCUUCGCUACCAUUGCGAUUGAUGAAGGACUUUGUGUUUGGGCUACAACAAGGAGAGGACGCCAAAGAUCUUCGUUCUGGAGCCGAGAUGAUCAGGACUGGCACGAUGCAGCUGAUGAAGAUGUGUGGCGCUGUCAAGCAACCAAUCCAGGGCGCUUGAAAGGAAGACGGGCGCGCAACCUCGAUGCUGUUCUAUCUCGGCGAAGAUUACCAUCUGUUUACUUGACUUUGCAGUUGUGUUCUGAUACUUGAUCCUGAGCUUUUGAGAUUGUAAUAGGAUAGAUGUUAUGUCGUGCUAUCCAGGUUUUCGCCCCAUGAUACUCGUUUCGAUGGCGAGCGAGUAUGGUGGGUUUCCUGGUAGUGCUAGAACUCGCUUUACUUCUUUCCCUCCCCCUGACCUUCUCGUUUGAA
This is an RNA transcript of Triticum aestivum (bread wheat), 1797 nucleotides long. RefSeq lists it as uncharacterized. NCBI's taxonomy places the organism in Eukaryota, Viridiplantae, Streptophyta, Magnoliopsida, Poales, Poaceae. The record is from RefSeq and is a predicted model, not a curated record. The transcript is spliced from 2 exons.